UACAGAGGGGGCAAGCGUUAUUCGGAAUUAUUGGGCGUAAAGGGCGCGUAGGCGGUAUGGCAAGUGGAAGGUGAAAUCCCUCGGCUUAACCGAGGAACUGCCCUCCAAACUGCUUUACUUGAGGCCGGUAGAGGUGGGUGGAACUCCUGGUGGAGUGGUGAAAUGCGUAGAGAUCAGGAAGAACACCCGUGGCGAAGGCGGCCCACUGGGCCGGUACUGACGCUGAGGCGCGAAGGCGUGGGGAGCGAACGGG
RNAcentral lists this ribosomal RNA (253 nucleotides) under uncultured bacterium. Its description in RNAcentral is "partial 16S ribosomal RNA". It matches the Rfam family "Bacterial small subunit ribosomal RNA", at positions 524 to 776 of the family's 1533-position model. The record is from RNAcentral.